RNAcentral lists this transfer RNA (75 nucleotides) under Clostridiaceae bacterium. Its description in RNAcentral is "tRNA-Glu". It matches the Rfam family "tRNA". From Rfam's summary of the family: Transfer RNA (tRNA) molecules are approximately 80 nucleotides in length. Their secondary structure includes four short double-helical elements and three loops (D, anti-codon, and T loops). The record is from RNAcentral. Lineage: Bacteria; Bacillati; Bacillota; Clostridia; Eubacteriales; Clostridiaceae.
GGCCCCUUGGUCAAGCGGUUAAGACAUCGCCCUUUCACGGCGGGGACAUGGGUUCGAUUCCCGUAGGGGUCACCA